RNAcentral lists this transfer RNA (74 nucleotides) under Paludisphaera borealis. RNAcentral's name for it is "tRNA-Leu". It matches the Rfam family "tRNA". From Rfam's summary of the family: Transfer RNA (tRNA) molecules are approximately 80 nucleotides in length. Their secondary structure includes four short double-helical elements and three loops (D, anti-codon, and T loops). The record is from RNAcentral. Lineage: Bacteria; Pseudomonadati; Planctomycetota; Planctomycetia; Isosphaerales; Isosphaeraceae.
GGCACGGUACGCAAAUUGGCAAAGCGAUCAGGUCGAGAGCCUGGUGUCUGUGGGUUCGACUCCCUCCCGUGCUA